GGGCCGCUAGCUCAGUUGGCAGAGCAUCAGACUUUUAAUCUGAGGGUCCAGGGUUCGAACCCCUGGCGGCUCA
Molecule: transfer RNA, 73 nt
Filed under: Deltaproteobacteria bacterium
Lineage: Bacteria; Pseudomonadati; Myxococcota; Myxococcia
Description: tRNA-Lys
Rfam family: tRNA
About the family: Transfer RNA (tRNA) molecules are approximately 80 nucleotides in length. Their secondary structure includes four short double-helical elements and three loops (D, anti-codon, and T loops).
Source: RNAcentral